UACGUAGGUGGCGAGCGUUAUCCGGAUUUAUUGGGCGUAAAGCGUGCGCAGGCGGUUUAUUAAGUCUAAGAUUAAAGCCCGGAGCUUAACUCCGGUUCGUCUUAGAAACUGGUAGACUUGAGUAAGGUAGAGGCAAAUGGAAUUCCUAGUGUAGCGGUGGAAUGCGUAGAUAUUAGGAGGAACACCAGUGGCGAAGGCGAUUUGCUGGGCCAUUACUGACGCUCAUGCACGAAAGCGUGGGGAGCAAAUAGG
Molecule: ribosomal RNA, 252 nt
Filed under: uncultured bacterium
Lineage: Bacteria
Description: partial 16S ribosomal RNA
Rfam family: Bacterial small subunit ribosomal RNA
Source: RNAcentral